This 472-nucleotide ribosomal RNA is filed under the name uncultured bacterium. RNAcentral's name for it is "SSU rRNA". It matches the Rfam family "Bacterial small subunit ribosomal RNA", at positions 26 to 518 of the family's 1533-position model. The record is from RNAcentral.
AGGACGAACGCUGGCGGCGUGCUUAACACAUGCAAGUCGAGCGGAAAGGCCCUUCGGGGUACUCGAGCGGCGAACGGGUGAGUAACACGUGAGUAAUCUGCCCCUAGCUCUGGGAUAGCUCCGGGAAACCGGGAUUAAUACCGGAUACGACCACCUUAGACAUCUUUUGUGGUGGAAAGAAUUUCGGCUAGGGAUGAGCUCGCGGCCUAUCAGCUUGUUGGUGGGGUAACGGCCUACCAAGGCGACGACGGUAGCCGGCCUGAGAGGGCGACCGGCCACACUGGGACUGAGACACGGCCCAGACUCCUACGGGAGGCAGCAGUGGGAAUAUUGCGCAAUGGGCGAAAGCCUGACGCAGCGACGCCGCGUGGGGGAUGAAGGCCUUCGGGUUGUAAACCCCUUUCAGCAGGGACGAAGCGAAAGUGACGGUACCUGCAGAAGAAGCGCCGGCUAACUACGUGCCAGCAGCCGC